GACGAACGCUGGCGGCGUGCCUAAUACAUGCAAGUAGAACGCACAGUUUAUACCGUAGCUUGCUACACCAUAGACUGUGAGUUGCGAACGGGUGAGUAACGCGUAGGUAACCUGCCUGGUAGCGGGGGAUAACUAUUGGAGACGAUAGCUAAUACCGCAUAAUAUUAAUUAUUGCAUGAUAAUUAAUUGAAAGGUGCAAUUGCACCACUACCAGAUGGACCUGCGUUGUAUUAGCUAGUAGGUGAGGUAACGGCUCACCUAGGCGACGAUACAUAGCCGACCUGAGAGGGUGAUCGGCCAAACUGGGACUGAGACACGGCCCAGACUCCUACGGGAGGCAGCAGUAGGGAAUCUUCGGCAAUGGACGAAAGUCUGACCGAGCAACGCCGCGUGAGUGAAGAAGGUUUUCGGAUCGUAAAGCUCUGUUGUAAGAGAAGAACGGGUGUGAGAGUGGAAAGUUCACACUGUGACGGUAUCUUACCAGAAAGGGACGGCUAACUACGUG
Molecule: ribosomal RNA, 505 nt
Filed under: uncultured bacterium
Lineage: Bacteria
Description: partial 16S ribosomal RNA
Rfam family: Bacterial small subunit ribosomal RNA
Source: RNAcentral